GUGUCUGAGCUGGGGGACGGGCAGGGGGCGUGGCCAAACGGAGGGCAGGAAAAGCCCAUUGAAAAAACAUGCAGUAGAGGCAGCAGCAGAUCUGCCUCAGUGAGAGGGGAGUGCCUGCAUGCCACCUCAGAGCCCGCCCCUGUCAGGGAGGCAGAUUUGAUUGGCCAGUGACUGUGACCGUUUCCUGAUGCACUCUCAAUGCUGAGUCCGGAUCUCCCUCUCUCCAGGUCACCUUCCCUCCUCACCUACAAAUAUAUCUGCAUUCCUCGCUGGUCACCUUCCCUCCUCACCUACAAAUAUAUCUGCAUUCCUCGCUGGUAA
Molecule: long non-coding RNA, 321 nt
Organism: Pseudophryne corroboree (corroboree frog)
Lineage: Eukaryota; Metazoa; Chordata; Amphibia; Anura; Myobatrachidae
Exons: 3
Source: RefSeq, a predicted model, not a curated record